CAGUCGCCGCGGUAAUACGGAGGGUGCAAGCGUUAAUCGGAAUUACUGGGCGUAAAGCGCACGCAGGCGGUCUGACAAGUCAGAUGUGAAAUCCCCGGGCUUAACCUGGGAACUGCAUUUGUAACUGUCAGGCUGGAGUCUUGUAGAGGGGGGUAGAAUUCCAGGUGUAGCGGUGAAAUGCGUAGAGAUCUGGAGGAAUACCGGUGGCGAAGGCGGCCCCCUGGACAAAGACUGACGCUCAGGUGCGAAAGCGUGGGGAGCAAACAGGAUUAGAUACCCCGGUAGUCCCUGUCUCUUAUAC
This 301-nucleotide ribosomal RNA is filed under the name uncultured bacterium. Its description in RNAcentral is "partial 16S ribosomal RNA". It matches the Rfam family "Bacterial small subunit ribosomal RNA", at positions 509 to 807 of the family's 1533-position model. The record is from RNAcentral.